Non-coding RNA from Callorhinus ursinus (northern fur seal), 754 nucleotides. The record is from RefSeq and is a predicted model, not a curated record. NCBI's taxonomy places the organism in Eukaryota, Metazoa, Chordata, Mammalia, Carnivora, Otariidae.
GUCCCUCCCCACGCGGCGGCCCCCGGGCCGGGAGCGGCCGACUGGAAGGCCGCGGCCGGGAGGCCCCCUGGAGGCCUGCUGGGAAAUGGCGGCAGGAACGGCGGGUGCGUGGGUCCCCUAAGGGAGGCAGCCCUGAGAGGAAGUCGGGACGAACUUUGUUCCCUAGGAGAAGCCCAUCGUGGGCCCAGAGUACCCGAGAAGGCUUUUAACUCUGCCUGGGGCUGCUUGUCAUCUAUAUGAAGCUCUCCAAAGGCAACUUAGCCCAUCCUACAAUUCAGAAUAACCCCAAAUCCUUUACAAUCUUUUCUACUUUAUUUGAGAUUCACCAUUCAAGAUUCAAACAGACAGGAGUUUAUACACAGAGUGGGCAAGAGUGCGGAGAAACUUUGGCACCAUGUGCCCCUUAAUAUCUUCCAGGUCAUCACCAUCAACCUCAGGACCUUAAAGUGGAAAGAGCUUAAAAUAAAAGCUCCCAAAGAGAAGACAGUGAGGGGCUAGGACACACAAAAAGCUGCUGGAUGAAAUCACAUAAUUAUGGUGAUCAGACUUCUACAAAUGUACUAUCUCCAACCUCCAGAAGAGCCAUGAGAGAUUUCUAAGAAGACAUGUACCAUGAAAGCAGUGCUUAAGCUAAUCUGGCAGGUGUGCACAGAACAGACUGAAGAAGAAACAAAUAAAUAUGAUAAAACAAGUGAAGAGGCAGUGGUCCAGGGGUGAGGCAAUGAGAGAAGAAGAAGGAAAAAAUAAAUUCCAC